CUAGCAACCAUAUAAUUUAGAAAUGGUAUGAUAUAUGUUGCCGUCUUGUGACCCCCAGUUGACAAGCAAUUUCAAGAAAAAACACCAUUUCACUCAGUUUGAUUAUCAUUUUGCAGGCCUGGUAUAGCAGAAUUAGAGUUGAAGCUCUCUGAGUAUACCAAAAAGAUGUCAUAUCUGCAACAGAUGGUUCAGGAGCUAGCCUCAAAGUAUGACUAUAAUCCGAACAAAGACUAUGCCGAGACAGAGCUGAAGUUGAGGGAACAUUGCAAUCGUUUAUCGGAACAGUAAAAUCCUUCAAUAUGAUAUACAGUAAGGUGCAGGCCGGUCAAAUGAGGGCACGGGCGAAGAACAACAUGACCAAGAGACUGUCCCCAUUGGGCCACAAGGUGGAG
This is a long non-coding RNA of Triticum dicoccoides, 392 nucleotides long. RefSeq lists it as uncharacterized. The transcript is spliced from 3 exons. Lineage: Eukaryota; Viridiplantae; Streptophyta; Magnoliopsida; Poales; Poaceae. The record is from RefSeq and is a predicted model, not a curated record.